Molecule: ribosomal RNA, 253 nt
Filed under: uncultured bacterium
Lineage: Bacteria
Description: partial 16S ribosomal RNA
Rfam family: Bacterial small subunit ribosomal RNA
Source: RNAcentral
UACGUAGGGACCAAGCGUUGUUCGGAUUUACUGGGCGUAAAGGGCGCGUAGGCGGCAAUUCAAGUCAUCUGUGAAAUCUCUGGGCUUAACCCAGAACGGCCAGAUGAUACUGCUUUGCUAGAGUGCAGAAGGGGCAAUCGGAAUUCUUGGUGUAGCGGUGAAAUGCGUAGAUAUCAAGAGGAACACCUGAGGUGAAGACGGGUUGCUGGGCUGACACUGACGCUGAGGCGCGAAAGCCAGGGGAGCAAACGGG